AUGCUAUGUUGCCUUUGCCACGGCAGAAGAAAUUUUUUAUAUAACAUGAGAUUCUUCUCUUAGUCAAAGUUGUGCUCACUUUUCUUCGGCGGGCAUUACUUGCAAAAGCUCAAUGUUUAGCUCGAAUGUAGCUCCUGGUGGGAUUUCGUUCAUUCCCUUUUGGCCAUAGCCAGCCUCCGGAGGAACAAUUACGGUCCUCUGCUAGUUGAGCUUAUAAUUACAAAUGGAGGAGGAUGCUUCCUCCUACUUUCAUCCCUUGUGUUACUGAGUACAUAGCAGCUGG
Molecule: unclassified non-coding RNA, 283 nt
Filed under: Hevea brasiliensis (rubber tree)
Lineage: Eukaryota; Viridiplantae; Streptophyta; Magnoliopsida; Malpighiales; Euphorbiaceae
Source: RNAcentral